Molecule: small RNA, 30 nt
Filed under: Bombyx mori (domestic silkworm)
Lineage: Eukaryota; Metazoa; Arthropoda; Insecta; Lepidoptera; Bombycidae
Description: ovarian small RNA-13656
Source: RNAcentral
CCCCAGGUACAGUCGCCGUAUACCGGCGCU